AUUGAACGCUGGCGGCAUGCCUAACACAUGCAAGUCGAACGAGUGGCGGACGGGUGAGUAAUGUCUGGGAAACUGCCUGAUGGAGGGGGAUAACUACUGGAAACGGUAGCUAAUACCGCAUACUAUUGGAUGUGCCCAUAUGGGAUUAGCUAGUUGGUGGGGUAACGGCUCACCAAGGCGACGAUCCCUAGCUGGUCUGAGAGGAUGACCAGCCACACUGGAACUGAGACACGGCCCAGACGCCGACGGGAGGCAGCAGGGGGGAAUAUUGGACAAUGGGGGAAAGCCUGAUGCAGCCAUCCCGCGUGUAUGAUGAAGGCCUUCGGGUUGUAAAGUACUUUUGGCAGGAAGGCGGUACCGGCAGAAGAAGCACCGGCUAACUACGUGCCAGCAGCCGCGGUAAUUC
This 406-nucleotide ribosomal RNA is filed under the name uncultured bacterium. RNAcentral describes it as "partial 16S ribosomal RNA". It matches the Rfam family "Bacterial small subunit ribosomal RNA", at positions 30 to 526 of the family's 1533-position model. The record is from RNAcentral.